This 413-nucleotide unclassified non-coding RNA is filed under the name Musicola paradisiaca. RNAcentral's name for it is "Dickeya paradisiaca partial contains 16S-23S ribosomal RNA intergenic spacer and 23S ribosomal RNA". The stretch from base 69 to 141 matches the Rfam family "tRNA". The record is from RNAcentral. Lineage: Bacteria; Pseudomonadati; Pseudomonadota; Gammaproteobacteria; Enterobacterales; Pectobacteriaceae.
GUGCUCACACAGAUUGUCUGAUGAAAUGAACAAGAGUUCGAUAGCGUCUUGCGAAGCUGACAAGAGAUGUCCCCUUCGUCUAGAGGCCCAGGACACCGCCCUUUCACGGCGGUAACAGGGGUUCGAAUCCCCUAGGGGACGCCAUUGAACGGACGGUGAGUGAAAGGCACGGUCAACAGUAACCUAAAACUGAUUAGCGAUAGUCAGGUUUAUGUUAUUUGCUCUUUAACAAUCUGGAACAAGCUGAAAAUUGAAACGACGACAUAGGAAUGAGAAUUCAUGUGUUGUUCGAGUCUCUCAAAACUCAUGCCCGAGACACUUUCGGGUUGUGAGGUUAAGCGACUAAGCGUACACGGUGGAUGCCUAGGCAGUCAGAGGCGAUGAAGGGCGUGCUAAUCUGCGAUAAGCGUCGG